This is a long non-coding RNA of Clupea harengus (Atlantic herring), 2425 nucleotides long. The record is from Ensembl. Lineage: Eukaryota; Metazoa; Chordata; Actinopteri; Clupeiformes; Clupeidae.
GUCAGCCAAGCACUUCCAGUGCUAGAAGCCAGCUGCCAGCAUCAGCUGCACAGACCAGUUCAGCUACAGCAUCAGCUGCACAGGACCAUCCAGUUCAGCUACAGCAUCAGCUGCACAGGCCAGUUCAGCUACAGCAUCAGCUGCACAGGCCAGUUCAGCUACAGUAUCAGCUGCACAGACCAGUUCAGCUACAGCAUCAGCUGCACAGGCCAGUUCAGCUACAGCAUCAGCUGCACAGGCCAGUUCAGCUACAGCAUCAGCUGCACAGGCCAGUUCAGCUACAGCAUCAGCUGCACAGGCCAGUUCAGCCACAGCAUCAGCUGCCCAGGCCAUUUCAGCUACAGAAUCAGCUGCACAGGCCAGUUCAGCUACAGCAUCAGCUGCACAGACCAAUUCAGAGGCACACAAAGCAUCAGCUACACAGACCAGGUCACCACAGAAAGCACCAGCUACACAGACCAGGACACCACAGAAAGCACCGACUCUGUGUAGACAGUGAGUUGGAAUCAAUGACAUGCUCUCUAUGUAGCAAGGAGGUGAGCAGUAAGGAUUACACUCAGCACUUGUCAGGCUACCAUGUCCAAGAGCGUUGUGACCAGUGUGGUGUUAAAGUCUGAGACUUUUGUAUAUAGCUACAUUGUGUUUUAUAUUUUGUGUGUUUGUGUUCUCAUUUAAAAAAAAAAAAAAAAAAAAAAAAAAAACACAACUCUUGUGGUGUAAUAGUAACACAUCCAUCCAUCCGUUGGGUGGAAGAUUCCAGGUGCAAGUCCUGGCAAGAGUGUGUGACUUGUUGGUCGAAUCAGUAUUUAUUUCAAAAUGAUUUCAUUGUAAGUUGUAGUAAGUGGAUUUGCAUUUUUUCCUCCUUUCCUUCUCUCUUUUCCCCCUUUCCCCCUUUCCCCCUUUUUUCCUUUUCUUCCCCCCCCUUUAGCAGUCCCUUUUCCCUCAUUCUUGGCCGAGUGGUUAAGGCGAUGGACUGCUAAUCCAUUGUGCUCUGCACGCCUCGGUUCGAAUCCCAUCCUCGUCGUGAAGGGCUCUCAAGGGCUUGUGUUGUCUUUCUCAAACGAGCAUACGACGCCAUUUUAGGGACAACAUCACCAGUGUCCAGCUCCUUCCCUUCCAUACCUUCCCUUUCUUGAUGAGUGGCUGUAUUUCCAUCUGGCUCUAAAGCGCAUCCUUUAUGUGACGAGGUGGCCGAGUGGUUAAGGCGAUGGACUGCUAAUCCAUUGUGCUCUGCACGCGUGGGUUUGAAUCCCAUCCUCGUCGUGAAGGGCCCUCAAGGGCUUGUGUUGUCUUUCUCAAACGAGCAUACGAGGCCAUUUUAGGGACUACAUCACCAGUGUCCAGCUCCUUUCCUUCAUAUCCCUGCAUGGCCCUGGCAAAGGCUUUGAGGUGCUUGGGGUGCAUUGGCAGCCUGCCUGAAAGUUGGUGGUGCCCCCACCGUCCCUGUGCUUCCCUUGGCCAGGAAGGCCAGCGCCAGCUCGGUCUUGUACAACUCAUACUUACCUGGCAGGGGCGAUACAAUGAUCAAGAAGGUUGUUUGCCCAGGGCGAGGCUCGGCCAUUGCACUCCGGUCGUGCUGACCCCUGCGAAUUCCUCAAAUGUAGGAAUCUCGACUGCACAAUUUCUGGUAGUGGGGAACUGCGUUCGCGCUCUCCCCUGACGUGAUGGUUUAAUGACAGACUAAAGUGCCGGCUUUGACUCGAGCUGACUGUAUCCUUCAUAUCCCUGCAUGGCCCUGGCAAAGGCUUUGAGGUGCAUUGGCAGCCUGCCUGAAAGUUUUUUUUUUUUUUUUUAAACUGAUUUUGUGUGUGUUUGCUUGUUAGUUCAGUGUCCAGAAGCCACGCCUACGCAGUUAAAGUGCCUGCGACAGACAGACAGACAGACACACCGUGAGGGCCGCGCCCGGUGCCGUCCUAGCACCCGGGCCAGAGGCCAUGUGGAAGGCACGCUCGGGUUUCUCUUCAACUCGUACAAAUCUUUCGCCUUUUACUAAAGAUUUCCGUGGAGGGGAACACCCCCGAGUUUACGGUAUUUUUGGAAGCUCUGCUUCGGCGGAGCAUCGUCUGUCUAAAGUCAAGUUUGUUCCCUGUUCUCCUCUCUGUUCCUCUGGUUAGGUCCUCUCUGUUCCUCUGGCUUGUUCCGCCGUGCGUGGUGGUGGUUCCCCAAGGCAUGGCGAUGAGCUCCAGCAAGGACUAUUUGAAAUGUGGGGAGGCUGUUCAAAUAUAUUCAAGUGCACUCCAGCUGACUGUAUCCUUCAUAUCCCUGCAUGGCCCUGGCAAAGGCUUUGAGGUGCUUGGGGUGCAUUGGCAGCCUGCCUGAAAGUUUUUUUUUUUUUUUUUAAACUGAUUUUGUGUGUGUUUGCUUGUUAGUUCAGUGUCCAGAAGCCACGCCUACGCAGUUAAAGUGCCUGCGACAGACAGACAGA